GACGAACGCUGGCGGCGUGCCUAACACAUGCAAGUCAACUUGAGGGAAGGAGCAAUCUGACCUGAUGGUGGCGCAAGGGUGCGUAACGCGUAAGUAACUUGCCCAAGGUAAGGAAUAACGUCGAGAAAUCGGCGCUAAUACCUCAUAAUGCAGCGGAUCCGCAUGGAUAUGUUGUUAAAGGUUUACCGCCUUGGGAUAGGCUUGCGUCUGAUUAGCUAGUUGGUGUGGUAAUGGCACACCAAGGGCUACGAUCAGUAACUGGUCUGAGAGGAUGAUCAGUCACACUGGAA
RNAcentral lists this ribosomal RNA (290 nucleotides) under uncultured bacterium. RNAcentral's name for it is "partial 16S ribosomal RNA". It matches the Rfam family "Bacterial small subunit ribosomal RNA", at positions 28 to 318 of the family's 1533-position model. The record is from RNAcentral.